Molecule: transfer RNA, 123 nt
Filed under: Streptomyces albogriseolus
Lineage: Bacteria; Bacillati; Actinomycetota; Actinomycetes; Kitasatosporales; Streptomycetaceae
Also listed under: 36 other names
Description: tRNA-OTHER
Source: RNAcentral
GUCGCAGAGGCGGCCGCGGUCAAUCUCAGACUCUCGCUCCAGUCUCAGCAUCGCCGCCGAUCGCCGGACCGAACGGGGACGGACGAACGCCGUCGGAUGCGAGUUCGACUCUCGCCUGCGCCU